GGGAAGGUGGCUCAGUGGUAGAGCACUUGCCUUGCAUGCAUGAGGCCCUGGGUUCUAUUCCUCAGCGCCA
This is a non-coding RNA of Dipodomys ordii (Ord's kangaroo rat), 70 nucleotides long. The record is from Rfam. Lineage: Eukaryota; Metazoa; Chordata; Mammalia; Rodentia; Heteromyidae.